UACAGAGGAUGCAAGCGUUAUCCGGAAUGAUUGGGCGUAAAGCGUCUGUAGGUGGCUUUUUAAGUCCGCCGUCAAAUCCCAGGGCUCAACUCUGGACAGGCGGUGGAAACUACCAAGCUGGAGUACGGUAGGGGCAGAGGGAAUUUCCGGUGGAGCGGUGAAAUGCGUAGAGAUCCGGAGGAACCCCAGAGGCGAAGGCGGCGUCCUGGCUCGCAUCUGACGCUCAGACACGACAGCAUGGGGAGCGAACGGG
RNAcentral lists this ribosomal RNA (253 nucleotides) under uncultured bacterium. RNAcentral describes it as "partial 16S ribosomal RNA". It matches the Rfam family "Bacterial small subunit ribosomal RNA", at positions 524 to 776 of the family's 1533-position model. The record is from RNAcentral.